Long non-coding RNA from Ananas comosus (pineapple), 1072 nucleotides. RefSeq lists it as uncharacterized. Lineage: Eukaryota; Viridiplantae; Streptophyta; Magnoliopsida; Poales; Bromeliaceae. The transcript has 2 exons. The record is from RefSeq and is a predicted model, not a curated record.
AGCUUGGGCUGCUACAGGGAAAGUCCAAUGUCUGAUUUUAUGGAACUUACGCUAAAAAGGUGGACAAGAUGAAGUAUAAUUGCUAUGGUCUACAUCAUCUGAUCGCAGAUGCAUCAAGUUUCAGGCCGUAGCAAGUUAAUAUUGAGUUGAAUCAGAAAGUCAUAUUUAUUCAUUAUAAACUUCUUAAUGGAUCUUGUUUCUUGACCACACUUAGCUUAGAUUAACAAGUUAUAUUUCAAAGCCCUCAUUUCCUUAUUUUCUUAUCAGGGGAUAUGGGCUGAGAAACAUGUCUUAAAAAUAAGACAGAUUAUAGGCAUUCCAGGCAGGUUUAUUUGAUAUUGGUCCUCGAGAUAUUCUGCUAGUUCUAUAGAUUGGGAGGAUUACUAUAGGCACUCUAGGCAGGUUUUAUAAGCAGUAGAAUUUUCUCAUUUUUGGCUUCUCUGUCGUCUUUUUCUGGUUGAAUUUUGAUUCCUUUGUCUCGUAUUGCGUUGCAAGGUGCCUGCCCUAGAUUACCUAAUGAAUUAUGUAGCCAUUCUAACCCAGUAAUUUAAGCUAAAAGCUUGGUAUUAUUGUAAUACUCAGUUAUUCUCUAUAUUUUUAGACUGGGGAGAUAUGCCUGGAUAUCUUGAAGAAUGCUUGGAGCCCUGCGUGGACCCUCCAAUCUGUUUGCAGAGCUAUAAUAGCUCUGAUGGCGCAUCCAGAAGCGGAUAGUCCUCUCAAUUGUGAUUCAGGCAAUCUUCUGCGAUCUGGCGACAUCAGAGGAUACCGAUCGAUGGCGAGGAUGUAUACACGACUUGCUGCAAUGCCAAAGAAAGGAUGAUCGUCAGGGGCAAAUUAAAACCUCCAGUAAAUACAUCCACUUUCGUCUGUCUAUCAGUGUGGCGGUUAAUAGACUGCUAUUACACUGCUAUCAUGUUCCUUAUUUUUAAUGAACUUGAUACCUGUAAACUGCCGUGUUGUGCGCUAUUUCUUUACCUGUAAUCUGAAGAUUAUUCUGCUAAUAAUCAUCAGUGACUAGCCAUUCCUGCUUCCUGAAGAAUUUCCAGGCAUAAUCUUACUCAGCAGAGCUACA